GGGCAGGUACCCAGCGCCUCCCCUGGACCAGCCAGUAGGAUGGCCCGCGCGGGGUUAAUAGAAGUUGGCGGGGUUGGGGGGCAAGAUGCUUCUCAACCUUCAGUUCGGUUCGUCUGUCCUUGUCGAAAACCCUAGAAGGAGUCCUCGGGGAACGCCGAAGGGAAACCGCUGUAGGAAACUGAUGUGCAGAGGGUUCAAAGCCUCCAGUCAGUCUGAAUAUGAGGCCCAUGUUCUUAAGUGGAAUGACCCUCUGCAAAGACAGCUCUCUGAGACAAGUGGUGUUACGGCGGCUUGUACAAAGCAUUCUGCAGGCAAACAGGCAGGAGAGGACAAACAGCGUGGAGAAAGAAGGUGUGGUCAAGGCAGGUGCCACAUUCACGUAACCUUUGAGCUGGGCAUGGAUGAUGGAUGAGACUUAAGUACAAAAGAAGAGGACAGUUGGCUGGGCUGAAAGAAUUGCAUGUGAAGACAGAGGGACUUGAAAGAAAAUGGUGUGUGGUUGCAACCUGCUGUGUUGAGUGGAGCCUGAGAUCUCAGGGAGAGGACAGGAGGUGAGGCAGGAGCAUAGGGAGGGCAUCUUCUCAGGAGAUGAGUUUCCUCCCAGAGGAGGUAUGGGGGUCACUGAAAAUGGUUAAGCAGAGGGGUGCGCUGAUCAGUCCAGUGCUGUGAACAGUUCUGCUGCAGCUUCGCCGAUAGACUGGAAGGGAGGCGACUGAACACGGGACCACCUGUUAAGACACCACUGGACACAGCGGGCACAUGAGAGUCAAUCUUGUAGGCUCAAGACAGGAACCAGAGACUUCCCUGGUGGUCCAGUGGCCAAGACUCCAAGCUCCCAAUGUGGGGGCCCGGGUUGGAUCCCUNNNNNNNNNNNNNNNNNNNNNNNNNNNNNNNNNAAGAUCCCACAUGCUGCAACUAAGACCCAGCACAGCCAAAUAAAUAAAUAGUGUUUUUUUUAAAACCCCCCCCAAAAAAAACAGGAACCAUAAAUAUUCUAGAAUUUGGGAGAAUGGAAGAGGCACUUUCUUACUAAUGAGGAAAAUGAAGCAGAGCUAGCAAGAGAUUCCAAGACAUAUCCAUUCAUCAUGUAAAUAUUUAUGAUAUGCUUACUGUGUUCCAGCAACAGUGAUAAAGGCUUGUGAUAUAAUGGUAAUGAGAACAACAACAAAAAACUGACUUAUUCCCUGUCCUCACAGAGCUUUGUACAGUCUGUCUGGCAGAGGAAGCAGACAUUAAUCAGAUAAUCACAUAAACAAAUAUAAACUGUCAACAGUCUCAAGUGCUGGAGCAGUGCUUAGAGGACAUGACCUAGUCUAGGAAUGCUUUUCUGAGCACCGAAGAAUUGAUGCUUUUGAACUAUGGUGUUGGAGAAGACU
RNAcentral lists this long non-coding RNA (1376 nucleotides) under Capra hircus (goat). RNAcentral describes it as "lncRNA (ENSCHIG00010016942.1)". Lineage: Eukaryota; Metazoa; Chordata; Mammalia; Artiodactyla; Bovidae. The record is from RNAcentral.